This 465-nucleotide ribosomal RNA is filed under the name Vreelandella stevensii. Its description in RNAcentral is "partial 16S ribosomal RNA". It matches the Rfam family "Bacterial small subunit ribosomal RNA", at positions 338 to 795 of the family's 1533-position model. Lineage: Bacteria; Pseudomonadati; Pseudomonadota; Gammaproteobacteria; Oceanospirillales; Halomonadaceae. The record is from RNAcentral.
ACUACGGGUGGCAGCAGUGGGGAAUAUUGGACAAUGGGCGAAAGCCUGAUCCAGCCAUGCCGCGUGUGUGAAGAAGGCCUUCGGGUUGUAAAGCACUUUCAGUGGGGAAGAAAGCCUUGGGGCUAAUACCCUCGAGGAAGGACAUCACCCACAGAAGAAGCACCGGCUAACUCCGUGCCAGCAGCCGCGGUAAUACGGAGGGUGCGAGCGUUAAUCGGAAUUACUGGGCGGAAAGCGCGCGUAGGCGGUCUGAUAAGCCGGUUGUGAAAGCCCCGGGCUCAACCUGGGAACGGCAUCCGGAACUGUCAGGCUAGAGUGCAGGAGAGGAAGGUAGAAUUCCCGGUGUAGCGGUGAAAUGCGUAGAGAUCGGGAGGAAUACCAGUGGCGAAGGCGGCCUUCUGGACUGACACUGACGCUGAGGUGCGAAAGCGUGGGUAGCAAACAGGAUUAGAUACCCUUGUAGUC